UUUUCUUACCUGCUUCAAAAAAUUAUAACUUAUCAACCAUGUUUAUAUUUUUAGUGAUCAAAAAAAAUUUUGCUAAAUAUUUCUGAAAAAAAAUCACAAAGAAUAUCUCUGGUGAAAUAAAAAAAUUUCAAAACGUUCUACGUAAAAUCUGGUAUUGAUUACGGGCGAUGGGAGGGAAUUUGAGCGGCACCCAAUAUUUUUUGCGAUUCGCGUCGACUAUCUUGAACAUUGUAAAACAUUUUGUUGCACAUUAUUGGAUCAAUUGCUUGCUGUAAUCGAGGUGAAGCGGUUAGAUAUAGCGAAUGAAAAGUACUUUUACACCAGGACAUUGCUCCCGCUCAAUUAGCUCGCAAAACGCCCGACAAAUUGAAGAAAUUGCGCAACGUACUAGCAUACGAAAAAUAUUGAAUUGAAGUGUAUACGCUAACCGUUCUUAUGAGAACCGCAAGGUGAAUCACCGCGCUUCUACAUUCGAAUACCAACAGCACGUUAAUGGGUCUUCAAUUUGUUCGUUUUUACAAAUGCACUUAUGUUAACCUCCAGCCCGGCUGGAGUGGACUCUUUGCACAUCAGAAGAGGCAAUAAAUCGAAACGAACUUUUUGAUUGUUGAGACGUGCCUCGGAGCAUUACGGUGAACAGUGCUAACAGCUUCACCACGGGACAGAACAUCGACUGGUUUGUGCGAAAACGAAUGCCCGCUUUCGGUACCAAUCUGGCGUAACGAGCGGAAAAAAUAUCACGCUUUGAUUCACUCUCGAAUCCGCUCAAACGUAUGGCAUAACGAGUGACACCAGAAGACCCCUGUCUGCCCUGUAAGGGAGUAUAUGUGGGGGUGUAAUAGUUAGGGUAAAUGCAACGUCCCCUGAGAAAGGUUGGACUACCUUACGACAUCAGCGGAAACGGAACGAUGCUAUAAAAACAAUAUAAAAGGAGAAAGCGGUGAAACUAGUUCAUUCCAGAAGAUAUCAUUUAAUUCAUGAAGAAGAGUGAUUAUUUAUGGGAUGAACGCGGCAGGAGACCCACGCUCUUUGGUGUAGAUUUGGAGCAGGAUUCGGAUCGCUGGUUCCCAAGAAGCGAAAAGCGUUCUAAAAUGUGUCUCGAUAGAAACGACGAUUUUUAACGUGUGAUGUGGGAGAACAUCGUCGGUCGACAUUUGUCAUGCUGAAUAUCUUGAAAACACGUGUAUACUACGGCACGGCCAAUUGUUACGUGAAACGCCACAUCCUGUUCGAUGACAAACGGGUAGUAAUGGCGAUCAGAGCGGGCUUGAGUAGGGUGUUAAUGGCUUACAGCGCAGUUUGGAACCAACUUACGGUGACAAAAUAAUUUAUUGUUUUUAGGUGGAAAGGUAUUCAGUAUCGCUUCAGCAACAAAAUGUGUGCCAGCUGGUUUAUUCGAAACAUUUAAAUUAAUAUAUUCUAUA
Molecule: long non-coding RNA, 1424 nt
Organism: Wyeomyia smithii (pitcher-plant mosquito)
Lineage: Eukaryota; Metazoa; Arthropoda; Insecta; Diptera; Culicidae
Exons: 3
Source: RefSeq, a predicted model, not a curated record